CGAUGUACAAAUGUGUAUUGGUGGUGGUACGACACUUGAGAGAUGGUGGUGGUGAUGAUAGCGAGAUGACAGGGGCAUUUGAGCAAUUUUGAUGGGGUGAUUGGAAUGAAGAGUGAUUGUGACAAAUUAUAUGGGUAAUUGUGAAUAAUGAAAUGGGUAAAUUGUGAUUAAUAAAUAUAUUACCUAUAGAUUUGUGACUUACGAUUAAUUUGUAUAUGAGAUCGAC
This 226-nucleotide long non-coding RNA is filed under the name Olea europaea (common olive). RNAcentral's name for it is "long non-coding RNA (OEUR_LNC006994)". Lineage: Eukaryota; Viridiplantae; Streptophyta; Magnoliopsida; Lamiales; Oleaceae. The record is from RNAcentral.